Molecule: unclassified non-coding RNA, 17400 nt
Filed under: Diabrotica virgifera virgifera (western corn rootworm)
Lineage: Eukaryota; Metazoa; Arthropoda; Insecta; Coleoptera; Chrysomelidae
Description: serine/threonine-protein kinase GA29083
Source: RNAcentral
UUAAUCCCUCCCACUAGCCGAAAAGAGGUUAUUACCUUUUUUCUCAUCUAACAAAACAGUUAUUUGCUAAAUAUUUUAACGUUUUUUUAAAUUAGUUUUGCUACCGCUCUACUAGUGCGCUGUCUUAAUUUUUAUACCGAUCGAAAGUGUAGUGUUAUUCUGUGAUAUUUUUGACUGAUUUAAGUUUUAGUUGACAGCUGUGGAAUGACUAAUAGGCGGUGGUGUACCUAUAUAAAAUUUAUAUAGAAAAUAUCGUAAAUUAUACAGUGCAAUCAGAUAGCAAAGAUUUUAGUAACUGAGUCAUUUAGAGAGCAAAAUGUUGAUGUGAGGAAGCCUAAAAAAACACUGCAAAUAUGUCAAAAAAUAACCUCAACGAGAAUGGGUCUAGAAGUGUCUCCUCGAACAGUUUCAACAGUUUUUUGUCUGAUGGGGAGAUCAUAGAAAGUGGUUUAGAAGACAUUCACAUCUCGAGUAAAAGUAACAGACCGUCUUCUACGUCCAAAGCUCAUAAAGCCAAAAGAAUUAGGUUCUACCACAAUGGCAACAAAUUCUUCAGUGGGGUUGUUAUCCCUGUGGCCCCUGAAAGAUAUAGAUCUUUUGAUAGUUUAACGAAUGAGUUGACAAACAUUCUAACGAAAAGUGUCACGCUACCUAAUGGUGUUCGGAAUGUGUAUUCCAUGGAGGGAAAGAAGGUGUGUAACAUCGACGAUCUCGAAGACGGAAAAGAGUACGUCGUGUGCGGCAAGGGUGAGUUGUUCAAGAAAAUCGACUACACCAAAACGGAUACCCUCCGGUCCAAACGUCUUACAAACACCAAGUUCACGUUGAACAGUUAUUCUAAUGUGCCCAGGAUAGUCGUACCCGAUUGUGUACGACCGAAAAUCGUCACUAUUAUACGUAAUGGAAUUAAACCCAGAAAGAUUUCUCGACUGCUUCUCAAUAAGAGAAAUUCACCCAGUUUGGAGCAAGUUCUUAGCGCCUUUUCAGAAAUCGUUCAGUUCGCCGUACGAAGAGUGUACUCAUUAUCAGGCCAGUCCGUCAACGAUCUGUCGCAGUUUUUCGACAAUGACGACGUUUUCUUUAUAUACGGAAACGAGAAACCCCAGUCCACUGAUUUCGAACUGGAAUUUGAGGAAACCAGAGCCAUACAUUCGUAUAAAAAGACAACUAUACAUAGAAAUGGCGGGGGUCCUAAGCCUAAAAUGCCUAAAAAGGAAUUGAAUCGAACCUAUGAGUCUGAAGAGAGCUUAUUAAAGAAAUUAAGCGAAGAAACUAAUUUAAUUUUACCAGUUCCACUUAAAACUAAAUACGUAGUAGGAAGGAAAGUUAUUGGAGAUGGUAAUUUUGCAGUAGUAAGACUAUGUCGAGACAUCACCACAAACAAAGAACAUGCUUUAAAAAUAAUAGAUAAAUCAAAAUGUAAAGGAAAAGAGGACAUGAUAGAAAACGAAGUGAAGAUCCUCAGGAAAGUGGAUCACCCCAAUAUCAUGUCGUUGGUAGCCGACGCAGAUACCAAAAGUAUUUUGUAUUUAGUUUGCGAAUACGUCACAGGUGGCGAUCUAUUCGAUCAAAUCACAAUUGCUCAAAAGUACUCAGAAGAGCAAGCAGCCUUAAUGAUAAACAAUUUAGUAUCAGCUUUAGCCUAUUUACACAGUAUAAAUAUAGUACAUAGAGAUGUUAAACCCGAAAAUUUAUUAGUAGAAUUAGACGACGACAAUAGAGUGAAAUUAUUAAAAUUAGGAGAUUUUGGGUUAGCCUGCGAAGUGACGAAGCCUUUGUACACCGUGUGCGGGACUCCUACUUAUGUCGCACCGGAAAUUUUGGCCGAAUCGGGCUAUGGACUCAAGAUCGACGUUUGGGCUGCCGGGGUUAUCCUCUAUAUACUCCUUUGCGGCUAUCCGCCUUUCGUCAGUCAAGAUAACGACCAAGAAAAGUUGUUCGAUUGUAUUUUGUCUGGCCAAUACGAUUUUCCCGAAGAAUAUUGGCAAGACGUCUCGUCCUGCGCUAAGGAACUAAUCCAAAAUAUGCUUCAACUAGACCCAGACCUCAGGUUUUCAGCCGAAGACGUACUAGACCAUCCAUGGCUUCAACCCAUCUCUACAUAGGAAGAAAUUAUUUUUACACAGUUAUAUGUAUAUUUAUUUUUUUAUACCUGACAUUGUCCCACACGAAGUGUACGCAGGCAUUGAUUGAUUCUUUAUUUUUACGAAAGUGGGGGGGGGGAGCAAACCAAAAAUAUCGAGAUAUUAAAUAGAGUACUAAGUACUUAAUAAAAUUGUUUGUUGAAUUACAAAAUUAUGAAAUUGACAGUGGUGCGUGUUGACAUUUAACUGUAGUAGAAGUAAACCUAUUGUUCACAUUUUCGUACAAUAAUACUGAGAUUCAUUAAAAAAAAGUAAACAAAUCAUCAAUAUCUAUUUUUUGCGCCCUCAUGCGGUUGCUUUAAAAAGUUCGCAGUCUGCUAAGGUAGUACAUUCGAACCCGCUUAUUGGAAUAGCCUUCGUGCCAAGCAAAAAUAUUCCUAUAACCGGGAUAUUCUAAUAACCGAUCAUUGAUGGCUGGUAGAAAUAAGUGUACCUACUGAAUAGACCUACAUAAUAAUAGUACAUACUAUGUAUGUACCUACAUUUACAUUAUAUUUAUAUGGUUUUAGGUCCUUUUCUGUCAAUGAUACAGCAGUGUAACUCAUUUUAUUAAAAAACCAAAUUAUAUUUUCUGUGCAUAAAUCCAUUAACCCUUAAACGCCCAACCUUUUUUAGGUUCCAUGUACGCCCAAGGGUGGGUAAAAAAUGUCCACCUCGAAAAUAGCUAAUAUAUUUAUUGAGAGUUGUUGGAAAUGGAUUAAACUUAAGGAUCUUAUGCUUAAUAAACACAGCAUCUUGUAAAAUAUUAAUAUAAACAAUUUACAAUCCUUACAACAAAAUUACAAUGUAGAUCAAAAUUAUCAUACCAGUAAAAGCCAGUAAUUCAAAUUUGUCGAUUUUCUCCACAUUCUUGCUUUCAGCUUCCUCAUUGGCGGAUAAUUAUGUCAAUUAUGUAAUUAUACGUCGAUAAUUAUAUGGAUUAUGUUCCUACCAACGAGAAAUUAUAUAGAAACCUUUAGUAACAAGUUUUACCAAGGGUGUACUUUUUAUGCCCACCCAUAUUUAACUCAAGCUAUUACUUUUAUUUUCAAAAAUAUCGGUAGAAACAAUUUAACAUUCGAUAAAAGGCUGUCUUUUUAACAAUAAAUAACUUUUGGAAAAUUUUUAAACACGUAAUAAAUAUGUUACAAGGGAAUACGCAUUAGGUGGACAUUUUUUACCCACCCUUGGGCGUUUAAGGGUUAUAAGCAUAAAAUGUGUGCAAUAUGUAGACAUGUACAUAUUAUCUUAUUUAAAAUGCAUACGCCCAAAUUACUUCUCAUUUUUUUUAAAUCUUACAAUUAUCUUGAAGGUAUACAAAUUAGAAAAAAUUACAUUGAAUUUGCCCUCCAGAAAUAUUUUUAUAAUAUUACAAACGGUUAGGACUUGCCAAAUUGGAUGAAAUAUCCACAAAAUCGAAAAAAUCUUCAUCUUUUGUCUCAUCUUUCGCUUUAAUAUUGAGUUGCGUGGUUUCAUUUUUUUGUUCUGAAUCUUCAGUAUCUUCGAAAACCGAUAAAUUAUCGUCAAAAGAAACAACUCUUAAAAAUAUUCGUCCUUUAUUUUGUCGAUUUCUGUGUUUUGAUGAAUUGGCAGGUAAAAAACGGAUUGUUAAAAUAUUCAAACUCAUGUCAGGUUUAUGGUUAUCAAUAACUAAGAGAACAUUUCUAUUCUUUUCUGCCAUUGUAUUGUCGAAGUCAAUAAACCAUUAACCAAUAAAAUUUAUGACUGCAACGAGGUGGGUCGCAACACAAAUUUUUACAAGUUUUGUGAGAUAAGUAAAAGUAGGUAUUUUAUGGCCUGUUGUAUUUCGUAAAAGGGUCCAGCUGGUGCGUAAUAAAGUAUUUAUUAACUGAAAAAUAUUAAUAUACCAGACAUAAUUUUAAUUUUUUUUGGAAAAUAUGAAUAAAAAGUUAUUCGUCCACUUGAAUAAUAUUUGAUUAACCGGUAUCAAUUCAUUAAAACGUAUUCCUAUAAGCGGAUACAUUUAUUAAGGAGUAAAUGCGUUCCGGGACCUCAAAUUUCUAUUCCUUAAACCGGGAUAUUCCUAUAACCGGUACUCUAAUAAGCGGGUUCGACUGUACGUGAUAAUAAUAUAGGACCAAGGGAGUUAAACCACUUUUAUGUCCCCUCGUUAUGUUUUUGGUGCGUAGAUUUGGUUUUAGAAUCUUCUAAACUAUUAGAGAUAUUUAAUUUUACCAGGAGGAAAUUGCCCGUUUUGCAAAAAUAAACAAAAUGACUCCUGUUCUCCGUCUUAUUUCCUUGUUCGUAAUCCGAUCCCUACGAGAAAUUCCUAACAUCGAGUGUUCCAUGGCUCUUUGGUCAACACAAAUGUUAUUUCUUAUUUUCUUGGUUGAUGUUACAGUUUCGGCACCAUAUGUAAGUACUGGCAACACGCACUUAUUAAAGACUUUUCUUUUGAGACACAUAGGCAGUUCUGAUUUAAGGGCAUAGCUCAGCUUGCCGAAUGCCAUCCAAGUGAGUCCUAUGCGGCGGCUUAGUUCGCGCGUUUGAUUAUCUCUUCCUAUGCGUAUAUCAUGCCCUUAAUAUAUAUAAGAGGCCGUUUCUUCAUAUAUGCAUGCCAUUUACUGAAAGCUUAACACAAGAUUUGUUCAUGAUUUGUGUUUUUGUGUGGUUGAUGUUUAAUCCAACUUGUAGGGAGGCUAGUUUCUCCAGUUGCGAUACUGCAUCAUCGAUGCUGUAAGCAAAAAGAACAAUAUCGUCAGCGAACCUCAAAUUACUAAGCAUUUCUCCGUGGACAUUAAUUCCUUUUACAAUCAGAUUUGCGUUCUUAAACAUAUGCUCUAAUAAUGUUGUAAACAAUUUCGGUGAAAUUGUGUCCCCCUGUCGCACUCCCCGUUUUAUUUUAAAUGCGUUGUACUUUUUAUUAUCUGUCAGUUUCACGCUUGGUGUCGCAUUUUGAUAGAUGUACUUGAUCAUGUUUACAUAUCGAUGAUUAUACGGCACUCUGUUAAGGCUUUUAACAUUUUUUGAUGGCCUAUUGUGUCGAAAGCUUUUUCAUAGUCAACAUAUAUUAAGACUAAUAGCUUGUUAUAUUAAACACUCUUUUCUAUUUAUUUUGACCAUUUUAAUAACGCUCUGAGGCUCACAGCGAAUCAGUAGCAGCGAAUAUAGGCAGGCGCGCGUAAACCGCGCCUAAAUGAAUUUACAAUACCUCGGCAAAAAAUUAGAUAUAAAACAUUUAUCAAAGCUAAAAUGGACUGGUUGAAUUGAUUCGAAUGCAUUUUAAAGGCACAUCUUGACUGGUUGAAUUGACUCGAAAGAAAUGUUGUUAAAGCCUUGACUGUUCGAAUUGACUCGAGAGAAUGAUUCUAAUGUAUACUCUUUCUUCGCGGCCAGAUGAAUUGGGUCAUAGCCCACGCGACCAACGAACAAACGUUUUUAUUUAGUCAGCACAAUUAGUGUGCCCUAGUCAAAAAUAUUGUUUAUGAUUUGUAAUAAUCAACCAAAUUAAAUAGCGCGCAUACGUUUGCAAUAUAAUAACAAUUGCGUUAGUGUGAUAUACGGUGUGAUAAAAAUAUUGUUUAAUAUCGAAUAUGAAAAUUGAAUGUUUGAGAUUAAACCAAAGGAACAAUUUUCAUUUUGGUAAAAUUAAUUAUCUCUAAUAUUUUAGAAGAUAUAUUCAUGUAAUUUAAACAAUUAAAUUAUUAAUAACAAAUUAUCUAACGGGUUUUCACCACGAUACUCUCGAAAAAUCGAAUCUACGAACCAAAAGAACAUAAAAAAACGUCCAGGUACCAAGGGGACAUAAAAGUGCAUACUCAACCCCCCUGGCUCCCUCUGGCAUGACUAUAAAUGAUGAAAUAUAAUUUCUUUUUUUGAAGAACAGCAAAACCUUUUUACUAAUUUACACAAAAACUCUAGAUAUUCACAGGAGACUUUCUAGGAAUAAAAAAAUUCAAGAAAGUGUUGAAACUAGAUUUUAAUAAAUUACUGUUAAAACCAAAGUUCUUUAAAUUAUGUACCUAGAGCGUAGAAUAGAUGGUGAAAUAAAAAGGUGUCAUCCACUGUCAAUUUCUAAAACCAAAAAUCAGAUACGUAUUACUAUUAACGUACUUCUUGAAUGCCUACCUACACUACAGGAAACCUUCCUGCCACAUGUACGACAUUCCCAAAAUAAACUUGGGUUAUAUACCGUUACAUUGUCUGCCUUUUAGAUUCAGAGCAUUUAAUACAGUUAAACAAACCGCAGUAUAAUGCUAUCGAAUUAGUAGGGUUACUCCGCGGAAAUCCUUAGUUCUCUAUAUUCCAUUUUGGAGACGGCGCAUCAAAAGUUUUAGUCCUUACGCAGAUGAAUGACAGUUGACGGUAUCCUACGUUUGCCGUGAUUGGUCGUUAUCGUCACGCGUUUGCUGUGACUGGUCGCGCAUUCAAAAUUUCGUCGUUAUCGUCGCGCAUUUCAAGUCUCGGGAGUGGAUUGCCAAUUUAGAACCGUCAAAAUUCGAGAGUGAAUUAACUGAUUCUUUAGCAUUAAACUGUGAAAAAACUAUAUAUAGUUGAAUACAGUAAAUCUAGAAAUGCAAGUAAGUACGGUCGAUGUUCAGAAUUAGCGGCGAUGUGGUAAGUAGCGGUAAAAAGACUGUUGCAAUUAGUUAACGCAUAUCCGGUCUAGUUAGUAGAAGAAAAACGUGGCUUUUUAAGACUGUUAAAAGACGUUUUUAUGGAUCCAGAGUUGUCACUUGUCAAUUGUCAUUGUUAAAGACAUAUACACUACCCCAAGAAAUUAACGCACCACCUUAAAAAUGGGUCAUUUUUGAUGUCUCGAAUUUUCUAAAACUGUCGUCCGAUUUAACUGAUUUCUUUAAUAUGUUAUAGCCUUAUUCUUUAACAAUAUCGCUGUAAUAAUAUUGUUGCUAGACAGGUAAAUUGUCACUGUAUACCAAGUGUACCAAACAAACUGUGUUUUUUUGCUCAACGUUCACCACAUCCUGUGGAAUUUUUUUCCGAUUCUCCGAUUUUCUUAACAUUCUGUUUUUUGAUUCAAUCGCUUAUGUUGGAUAAUAAAAAAGUUAGGUACUUUAACAACUAGCCAUGUUUUUCAUCAAUACAGGGUGUACGAAAAACUUCGGAAAACUACGAAAAACAGGAAUAAUUCUGCAUGAAAAAUAAAUUACAGUUUGUUUUAUAAACGUAUGCCCGCAAAUGCUUCGUUUCCGAGAUAGGGGGUGUUGAAAUUUUUCUUACAAAAUGACGAUUUAUUUAUUGCUCUAAAACCGGUUGAGAUAUUCAAAUGAAAUUUGAUGGGUUUUAAGAACUAGUGAUCGCCCAUUUUUUGACAUACAUACUAUUAAGAAUUUUAUAUUCACUGUUGGCGUGCAUUCGGAUAAUAUGGCCUGUAUGCGCGCCAAUGGAGAAUAUAAAAUUCUUAAUUGUAUGUCAAAAAAUGUGCAAUAACUACCUCUUAAAACUUACCAAUUUUCAUUUGCAUAUCUUAACCGGUUUUAGAGCAAUAAAUCGCCAGUUUGUAAGAAAAAUUUCAACAUCCCGUAUCUCGGAAACGAAGCAUUUGCCGAUAUAUGUUUAUAAACCAAACUGUCAUUAUUUUUUCAUAGAUAAUUAUCCCUUAAAGUUUGUCGCACUUAUUUAGAAAUACCCUGUAUUGGUGAAUAACAUCCAUCCAUCCAUCCAAUGGCACUACAGCCCAAAUCGAGCCUUGGCCUCCUUCAAUAAGCUUCUCCAAUCAUUUCGAUUUACCGCUGUUCUUUUCCAUGAACGCGUUCCCAGAAAGUUCCUGGCAUCCUCAUCGACUUCGUCUUCCCAUCUCUUUUUAGGUCUUCCAACAGGUCUUCUUCCCUGCAUUCUUGCAUUCAGCAAUUUUCUGGGGAUUCUACUCUCAUGCAUGCGGACCACGUGCCCUGCCCACCGUAAUCUCUGCAGUUUAGUGUGUUGUGCUAGAGUUGGUUCGCUAUAUUGCUCGUAUAUUUCUCUAUUAUACCUAAUUCGCCAGUUGUUAUUUUCACUUAUUGGGCCCAGUAUCCUACGUAAUACUUUUCUUUCAAACACAUCUGAUGCAUUGGCAGAUUUUUGUGUCACCACCCAUGUUUCGCAGCCAUAACUUACUAUGGGCCUGAUUAUUGUUUUAUAUACCCGGAGUUUUGUUUUCCGGUGUACGUCUCGCGAUUUGAAUAUGUGGCCCAUCACAUAGGCUUUAUUUUCCAGCACAAGCCUUCUAUUUAUUUCCGGUUCUUCUUCAUUGCUUGCAACCAGAUCCAUUCCUAGGUACGUGAAUCUAUUCACAUGUUCUAUAUCGUCAAUAAAGUGUUGUUGCGCCGGUCUAUUUGAUCUGGUUUGUAUGAGUAGUUUUGUUUUAUUUGUGUUUAUUGCUAGCCCUACUGCUUCUGCACUCUGUUUCAACUCAACGUAGGUUUCUUCCGCUGCAUUCAUUGUUCUGCUCAUUAUGUUUAUAUCAUCCGCGUAUGCUGCUAAUUGGGUAGAUUUGUUUGUAAGUAUGUUAUUUCCGCUUACCGUCAACCGUCUAAUUAAAUAUUCAAGAACAAGAUUAAAAAGCGUUGGAGCCAGUCCGUCGCCUUGUUUCAGUCCUUGCGUUAUCGUAAACGCAUCAGUGAUCUGUCCUUGAAUACAUACUUGUGCUUCUGUUUCUGUCAUUGUCAUUUGCACUAGUCGUAUUAAUUUUGAUGGUAUGCCAAAUUCUUCCAAUAUAUUAGGUAGAAUUGUUCUAUCUAUUGAAUCAUAGGCUUGUUUAAAAUCUACAAAGAGAUUGUAAACGUCCAUGUCAUAUUCCCAUGCUUUGGCUAGUAUUUGUUUAACUGUAAAUAGUUGGUCAAUGAUAGAUCUAUUUUGCCUAAACCCUGCUUGAUAUUCCCCGAUGAUUUUUUCCGUGAGAGGUUGAAGUCUUCGAUUAAGGAUGUUUGUGAAUAUUUUGUAUCCCGAACAAAGUAAAGAGAUGCCUCUAUAAUUCUGACACAACAGUUUGUCUCCUUUUUUAUGAAUAGGGCAGAUUAUACUUUUCUUCCAUUGUUGGGGGAUUUUUUCUUCUAUCCAUAUCUCUCGUAUUAGCUGAUACAUCUGUUGUGUCAAAUUCCUUCCUCCUUGCUUGAGUAGUAUGUGGAUUGCCGUUUGGACCUCCUCUAGCGUUGGGGGUCUAGUUAAUUCAUUUUCUUCUCCAUCUUCCCCCGGCUCUUGUUGUUGUACCCCCCAGCUCUUGUUGGUGAAUAACAUGGCCAGAUGUUAAAGUACCUAACUUUUUUAGUAUCCAACAUAAGGGCAUGAAUAAAAAAACAGAAUGUUAAGAAAAUUUGAGGCUAUAGUUGGGUUUUAAUUUCAGUAUUUUAUAAAUGCUAGAAUAUUUCACACGGUGUGAAUUUUGAGAAAAAACAUAUUUUGAUUGGUACACCCGGUAUACAAUGACCAUUUACCUGUUUAGCAACAAUAUUAUUACAGCGAUAUUGUUAAGGAAUAAAGCUAUAACAUAUUAAAAAAAUCACUUAAAUCGGCCAACAGGUUUAGAAAAUACGAGACAUCAAAAAUGACCCAUUUUUAAGGUGGUGCGUUAAUUUCUUGGAGUAGUGUAUUUAUGGAUACAGAAUUUUCAAUUGUCAUUUGUAUGCAUAUGUAUAAGAACACUUCAUGGUCGACGAACUUGUGAGAUUAGUAUGGCAUUGGACAAGCAUGUUAUGUAGAGUGGCUGUGAAUAAAAUUAAGAUGGCUAUGAUGGUAAGCAACGUUCUGAAAGGACAUGGCACAUGAAGAAGACGCAUUUAGUCGUGAUUUAUUUGAUUUUUUAUUUAAUUUAUGUCACUACCACUAUUACUAUCAUAUUCGCUUCCGAAAUCACUGUAAUCACUAAUAAAUUCUACAUCCGAUUGCCCAAGAUCAUUCGCCUUAUCACUUUCAUAAACUAUAUGUUUUAUGUCCGCCAUUUUAGGGUAAUAUACACGAAAUAAAAAUGAAAAUGUAAACACCCACAAGGAAAAAGUUUUCCUGUAGUUGGCUGUAUACCAUGUAAUACAAAAAACAGUAAAAUCCUUUAUAAAAGCUACAUAUAUAUUUAAAAUCCCUAAAAAGGGCUACAUCACAAUCACAUAACUAGUUUUCGAUUGGUUUUUUACCAAUCAUCAUCAGUGCUUACGUGAAAUUUACAUGUUAACCACCAAGAUAUAAUUUUAUACAAAUAUGUGGGUCAAAGCCCUUAAUCCGUCAAGGAAACAUCGGUUGAAAAUGCUAAUUUAAGCAUGGAUGUUUAAAGUAUUUUACUAAUAUGCCCCAGGUAACAUCUGAGCUGUGGUUUGACUUGUUCACGUGGUGAAAGUAUGGCAGCAAGUAAAGAAAAUGUAAACGUAUUGAAACAAAUGUAUAUUCGUGCGUCAAUUGUUACGCGGCUACUUAUCGUGUUAGGGAAUUGGAGCAACGCAUACGCAUUCGCACAGGCGCAACGCAUGCGCACUUUACUUCAAGAAAAACAUCACGCAUAUGUUCAAUUUCAAUGACGAGUCAGACUCGUCAUCUCUAAACUAAAAUUAGUUAUCGAAUGAGCGCUAGACUAAAUAAUGAAACUCUUACACACACAAUGUUCAAAACAGAGAGCUAAAAUUUUAAAUUUAAAAUAAAACUGAAUAAUGAAGACACUCUACACUGAAAAAAGGACAUGCUACAAUAGUUCUGUCAUUGUUGCUUCUCAAUAUUUCAGUAGUUCGUUUGGUAUUCCGUCUUUACCUACAGAUAUUCUGUUCUUCAGCUGUUCAAGUGGUUUUCGAACUUACAUGUGUAUUUAUAUUAACUUCUUCAUUUGUGGUAAUUUCUGGUGUCUCCGAUUAUAGCGUCCGUCAUUUAUUCUUCCUUUGUUGCAAAAAAGCUCUACGCAGAGGAAGAACAGAGGCAGGUAAAUACAAAUGCAAAAGAGAUGAAACUAGUAGAGGUGGGAAAUUUAGCGAUAGAAACCUAUAAAUUUACAUUAAAUUGAUUAUUCCCCACCUUUAGACGUAUCAGAGGAGUAUGUCAACUAAAACUGUCACCGUCACAAAAUUGCCAAACUCUUCCGAUACGUCUGAAGGUGGGAAACAAUCAAUAUAAUGUAAAUUUCCGUAUAAUAUGGUUUCCGUAUUUUACGUUAUUUUGCCGGUUAUUAGGGCACUCAUCACUGUAUAUGACAAUUAUUACUUGAAGAGAGUACUUCUACAAUGACAUUGACAAGUGACAGAAUCUUAAGGAUUUUGUGUUUUAGGCGAGUUGAAUAUACUAUAAAGGUCGCUGGUGAUUGGUGAAAACCAAAGUUUGAUUUCAUUUUUGUGAUGUUUUUAUAUGUAUUUACAAAAUAUAUAUUUAUAAGAAUAAAAUCGUUUGAAGUGUGAGUGAAAUUAAUUGGAAAAAUAAAACGAUAUUCGGAGCUUCAUAGAACGGAAAUUGUAAAAUGUAGUGUGCUAACUAACUUGGCCCUUAAGAUUGUAGUCCUUUAUGUUUGUUUAUUUAAACCUAUUUGGUUAUACGAAACAUGUAAAUCAGUAAUCUUUUUUGAUACUCACAUUUAAGUAUGGAAUUUAAACUGUAGUGUCGCAAUUGAUAAUUUCUAAUAUACCUAGAACCAUUUCUUGCAAGCAAAAAUAAAUCCAAAGAACCGGAUUACUAAAGAUUUCUUACGCUGGAAAACAAAUUCUGGUUACAACCUAAAUCCGAGGAUAAAUGGAUAGACAUAGGGAAUCUACAAUGUGCAUUCCACGACAGGAUCAAUUUAUCCAGGUAAAAAUCCAACGAAUUUGAUUCCUAGUACAUACUCAAUUUGUGAGUAAACGAGUAAAAAGACAGUUUAAGAUUUAGUUUUGGCACAGAGACCACCACAAUCUGUUCUCUCUCUUAUCUUAUAGUCUACUCGCAACAUAGGGCGCAACAUAGUCGCACUUUUAGCUCUCCGCGAUUUGAUGGUGGUAUUAUAGGUUUUUUGGGUCGCUGAAUCCAAUGGAAGCGGUCUGGAAGCCCAAAUGUGGUGCGUUUAUUUGUUAUUAACAAAUUAUGGUAAAAUUAGGUGUUUUUCAGGAAUUAUUAGAAGCCGUGUAAAAAAAUUGAUAGUAUUGAGGUCUUCUCUGGCGUAUUUUUGGUCGCUGAAUCAAAUGCGACUAGUUGCGAUUACUCAAAAUGUGUUCUUACUUUGUUAAUAACAAAAUAAUUGUUUAUUCGCCGAAAAGCUCGAAAUGCGUUAUCUACAGCAAGUUUGUAGUCUUUUUCAUAGUAUUUUUAUACGCUAAAUCGAUUGUCACUAGUCGUGAUAGCUUAAUCCACGUUCCGACUUUGUUAUUAUUAAAUUAUUGCUAAAAUAACGGUUUAUAAUACUAGGCUAUUGAUUAUAUUCAAAAUAAGAUAGCUAAAAGGAACUACAACGUUAUCGGGGUUUUAUUAUUUCAUAUGGUCAAUGGACAUCUAUAUAUGAAAAAACCGCGGAGUGCUACCAUUUAAAGGGGUGCGUUUUUGAGAAAUGGGUCAAUUAGUCCCUGGGCACAGGUUACAUUAGGGUGAGUUCUAUGCACUUUUGGUACAAACAUGUCUACAUAAAAAUUGUUCCUGGUUAAAUUUCCUAUCUAAAUAUUUCUUUUUAAAGUUAAUGAUACUUUUUUUUACAAAAAUAUAUUCAAAAGAAAAAGCACAAAGAAACCCAAAAGAAAGAAAUUUUGUUUUUCGUCCCAUAACUUUUGUCCACGAGGAUAUAGGUAUAGACAUUGCUUUACAGAAAAAAAAACCUACAUAUUUUUUCUUUAAAAUGUUGUUUAGUAGAGGUAAUUAGGAUUUAUAGUUUUCGAAAUAUAAUUUUUCAAAGUUCGCCAAUCACAGCAAUUUUCCUCGUUAUUUCGCAAAUAUUGUUCUGUAACUUUUUUCUACGUAACUUUAGGUAUAUGCAAUGGUACACGUAAUAGGAAUAUAAAUCAAUUACCUUCGAAAUGGUCCACUGUGUAACGUUGUACGACUUUUUUUAAAGAGAUUAUGGUUUUUCAAGGUUUUAUACUUUUAACGAUUUUUUAUGAUAUAAUAUAAAAAUAAAAUAAUAUUAUUAUAUAAUAUAUUAUAUAUUAUAUAAUAUUAUAUUAUACAAUGUAUAUAUAAUAUAUUAUAUUAUAUAUUAUAUAAUACCUAAUAUAAAUUUUUUUUUAUAUUUUUUAGGAUUAUUUUUGAAAUUUCUCAUUAUAACUUUUCUUUCUUGUACAUGAAUAUACUAAAUGUUGCUCAAUAAAGAGGGCUUACUUUCUGUUCUUUAAAAUGGUGUAUCAUCUAUAUUUAAAUAUGUAAUGGAAACCGAGUGAUUGUUUGAUAUUUUUCUACCUGUAUUAUUUAAAAUUAUUUCUUUUACAAAAAUUACAUAAACAUUAAUCUUAGAAAACAUCACUUUAGUUAAAAUUAUUUAAACGUUGACAUUUAAAAAAUUUUCAAAAUCAAAGUCCAUCUCUUCGUUAGCAUUAGCUUCAAUAUCUUCCUCUGACACUUGUUAUCUUAGAGUUCCCACAAUUAGUACCCAUGCACAUGCAUCCUUUGCAGAAUAUUGAACAACUAAUUCCUAUCUUCCUACAACCGCAAUUUUUUGUACACCAUUUGGUACAUUUACAUGAUAUUUUCUCAAGCAAAGCUUGUGGUGCAGGAGCUUUGACAGUAAAUAUUGGAAUUAAUCCAUAUUUUGAAGUUUGCCCGGCCGAGUCAAGUGGAUCCAAAGUAUUGCCUAUAAAAAAUAAGAUUCAAUCAUAACACACAAUCACAUAAAAAAGGUAUAAUGAGAAAUUUAAAAAAUAAUCCUAAAAUCAAAAAUCGUUGCAAGUACUUUUACAUUUUGAAAAAAUAUCUUAUUCAAAAAUAAUCCUAGAAUUUUUUAUAAUACACCAUUUUAAAGUAAACAGAAUAAGUUUUCUUUUUUAUUAUAUAAUAUAUACCUAAGUGUAGAAAAAAAAAGUUAUAAUGGGAAAUUUAAAAAAUAAUCGUAAAAAAUAUAAAAACUCGUUAAAAGUGUAUAAAGUCUUGAAAAAGAUAACCUCUUUAAAAGAAGUCGUAGAACAUUAUACAGUAGAACAUUUUAAAGGUAAUUGAUUUCUAUUCCUCUUACAUGUACCAUUGCAUAUGCCUAAAGUUACGUAGAAAAAAGUUACAGAACAAUAUUUGCGAAAUAACAAGGAAAACUGCCCAAAAUUGCUGUGAGUGACGAAAUUUGAAAAAUCAUAUUUCCAAAACUGUAAAUCCUAAUGACCUUUACCAAACAUCAUUUUAAAGACAAAAUAUGUAAGUUUUUUUUCUGUGAAGCAAUGUCUAUACCUAUAUCCUCGUGGACAAAAGUUAUGGGACAAAAAACAAAAUUUCUUUCUUUUGGGUUUCUUUGUGCUUUUUCUUUUGAAUAUAUUUUUGUAAAAAAAAAGUAUCUUUGACUUUAAAAAGUUAUAUUUAUAUAGGAAAUUUAACCAGGAAAAAUUUUUAUGUAGACAUGUUUGUACCAAAAGUGCAUAGAACUCACCCUAAUGUAACCUGUGCCAAGGGACUAAUUCACCCAUUUCUCAAAAACGCACCCCUUUAAAUGGUAGCACUCCGCGGUUUUUUCAUAUAUAGAGAUUCAUUGACCAUAUGAAAUAAUAAAACCCCGUUAACGUUGUAGUUCCUUUCUAUAGUACAUAAUCAAUAGCCUAUACGUUUACUCACGGUUUUUGCUCUAAAUUUUAAAAAACCACUUGGAACGACAUGAAACUUGGCAUACAAUUUAUUUACUUCUAAUAAUUCCUGAAAAACACCUAAUUUUAACAUAAUUUGUUAAUAACAAUUAAACGCACCACAUUUGGGCUUCCAGACCACUUAUAUUGGAUUCAGCGACCCAAAAAACCUAUAAUACCACCAUCAAAUCGCGGCGAGCUAAAAAUGCCCACAGGACCCCCGAUGUUGCGACUAGACAAUUAGGCAACUGUUCUUUCCGAUGGCUUAUUUAUUUCUUCUUCUAAUUGUUCUACUACUAACCUUCCUUGGAUGUCUCCUAAUUGGUAUGUUUUUCUUUUCACUUAAAUGUUUAAUAUUAUUGAUUUUUAAUAAUUCAGUUAGCAUUAUUAAUAUAAGAGCUUCUAUUAAUAUCUUGUUCUAAGUAUAUAUACUAAGGAUUUUCGCAGUUUUUACUGUAUUCCUUCACUCAACCGCCCUCUCCAGUUGUUUCUGUUUUGCCAGCUUCUUUCCAUUGCUUCAUUCCUGAAAGAUCUUCGGGGCCUGCGUCUCUUCCUUCUUUCUAUCAGGGCUCCACUCUGUUUUCUGAGUGGUUUUCGUAUUAUGUCGUAAAACGUCCACUAUCCAGAUUGGAGGACACUUCUAAAUUGCCCCCUAAUUUAAAGCUUUCUUUUGACAGAUUCUUCGUGGUAUAGUCGGUUCGCUAAACUCAGACACAACUGGCUAGUGAUUUUAGCAAGUAAUUUGGCCAAUUUGGUAAAAUUGGCAAAAAAAAAAAUACUAACUAGUUAAUAAUUACUAAAUAGCUAUCAAUUUUGCCAAUAUUGGCAAAAAACAAAAAAUUACCUGCUAAAAUCAUCAGGCAGUUGUGUCUGAGUUUAGCGAAUCGACUAUACAUAAAUACAGUGUGCGACAUAAUAAACAGUACUGAAAUGAAUAUUGAAAUGUUUAUGAUUAUUUAUAUAUCUAAUAUACAUGAUAUAGCCUUGCAAACAUUAUUCACGACGACGCACGUUCCCGAUAAAACAGAUGUUAAAGAUGUCCUUUGGCCAGUGGCGGAUCUACGGGAAGGGAAAAUUAGAAAAUUCCACCCUAACACGAUCCAAAAUUAAAAAAAAAAUGUUCAAACAAAAAUAUAUUAGCUGACAUGCAACUGAAACCACAGAAAGACAAAUUCAACUCAAUAAACACGCUAGUUAAGAAAAUUAAGAGAACUUAAUAUGUAUAACUUAUUAUUUAUGUCUUUUAUGUAAUCUGAGCUUAUCUUUUUUAUGUCUCUUGGUUGGUUUUUCAUUGGAACUUCCCCCUAAGGCAUAUUUUCCCUCCCAAUGCAAAUUUUUAAAUCCGCUACUGCCUCUGACAUGAAAAAAUCUUUAAUUCUAAUCCGCAAUUCCGAAAUGGCAGACGGUGGAUCUGUCUGACUCCUUUAGCAUUCCCCAUAUGUACGCAUCUGGUGGCGUUAGUUCUGUUGAGGGCAACUCCCAAAAUUAUCGCGCAGUAUUCGAAGAGACUCCUUGUCAGUGUGACAGGACUGCCGAAACGAUUGUUGAUUUUAAGCUUGGACCGUUUUCGUGACCUUUUUUGUAUGGCCGAAAAUUGUACUCACCCAUAAACAAUUUUUCUGCAAAAAUGAGAACCAUUUUGAAGCACCUAACAUUAUCACGACAUUCACAUAAGUUAUAAUGACGUUCGAAAUCAACUCAGUACGUUUCUGCGCCCGACACAUUGAGGCAUACGAAUUUCAGUAAUGUUUAGUUUGCCGUAUACCGUAUAAAGCAAAUAUGGACACUAUUGGUCAAGCAAAAAAUGAUUCGACUUUAGUUUAUUAUAUGAUUAUUUGUGUUGAUUAUGAUUAUGUAAAUAUAAACACUUUCUACUGUAAAACCGCAACUUAAAAAUUAAGACGAAGUGUAUAUGAUUGUUUUUGUGACACUACGAGUUUUUAGAUAUUUGAAGAGAUAUGAAAUUAUUAAAAUAUGUGCAAUUAUUCUUUGAAUUGAUUUUGUUUCGAUGAAAAUACUUCCCAGUGCUCUUUUGAGUACUGUAAUUUUAAAAAAUUGGUAAUACCUAGUCGAAAAUUUCCAUUUUAGUUUGAAAAUUGUGUUUGAACGAUUUUUAUGCGAGCUAAAAAAGCAAUAACCAGACUGUUAUGUAUACCAGUGAACUUUUUUUAUAAUUGUUGCGCUAAAAAGGGAAACAAUAUGUAAAAAUAUCAUUUUAACGCAAAUGAUGACGACUAUACAAAAUAUGCCUAUUUUUAUGCACUUUACAAAAUUUUUUUGGUACCAAAAACAGCUCAUAUGCCCAUUGACCUGUUAUUUGACGAUUAUUGAGUAUUAUGAAUUGUCAAAUUUACUCAACUGUAAUUAUUUUUUAAAAAGACAAAGAGUCAUUAAGCUCCAGCGAAUAAUGACUAACUGUUUUUUUAUUUAUAACCGAUAACGAAGUACUUGAAUCUUUAUAUUUUAAGGUAAAGAAUUUAAGUGUAGAAAGUAUUAUUUAUUAUAAUAUUUAAAUAUUUUACGUACAUUCAAUGUAGGUUUUGUUUUUCUUUGUUUAUAUUAUUUUAUUUUUUUUAUAACACUAGAGACUAAAAGCUGUAAAGUUCAAGUAGUGUAAAUAUAUUAUUUAAGUAGAA